RNA transcript from Carassius auratus (goldfish), 3744 nucleotides. It is a transcript of the gene named embryonic polyadenylate-binding protein-like, with no coding region annotated. Lineage: Eukaryota; Metazoa; Chordata; Actinopteri; Cypriniformes; Cyprinidae. The transcript has 14 exons. The record is from RefSeq and is a predicted model, not a curated record.
UCUUCUCACAGAUGGAUUUUAAUUGAUACACAAUGGAGCGCGUUACAAAUGACAGGUGUUCCUCGGUAAUAAUUAAAGUCGCACAAAAACAGUCCCAACGGGGUGGAGCCCGCUUGCAGCUACACUGAAGGAUAUGCUUAUGUGCUCCACAUUACAGCAGAGUGCGUCUGAAGGAUGAAUAGCAGUGGACCAGCAUACCCAUUAGCCUCUCUUUAUGUCGGUGACCUUCAUCCUGAUAUCACCGAGGCCAUGCUGUACCAGAAGUUUUCUCCUGCUGGUCAGAUCAUGUCCAUCCGUGUGUGCCGUGAUGUCAUUACACGGAGAUCCCUAGGAUAUGCUUACAUCAAUUUCCAGCAGCCUGCUGAUGCGGAAUGUGCUCUUGACACAAUGAACUAUGAAGUCAUCAAGGGUCGUCCAAUCAGGAUCAUGUGGUCACAGCGAGAUCCAGGUCUGAGAAAGUCUGGUGUGGGAAACAUCUUCAUCAAGAACAUGGAUGAGUCUAUUGACAACAAGGCUCUCUAUGACACCUUUUCUGCCUUUGGUAACAUCUUGUCAUGCAAGGUGGUUUGUGAUGAGAAUGGCUCAAAAGGUUAUGGGUUUGUGCACUUUGAGACUCAAGAAGCAGCCAACAGAGCCAUUGAGACCAUGAAUGGCAUGCUUCUGAAUGAUCGCAAAGUUUUUGUAGGGCAUUUUAAGUCUCGCAAGGAGCGUGAGGCCGAGUUUGGCGCUAAAGCCAUGGAGUUCACCAAUGUGUAUAUUAAGAACUUCAGUGAAGAUAUUGACCGUGAGAAACUGAAGGGCAUCUUCUCUGAAUUUGGUAAGACCCUUAGCGUGUGUGUGAUGACGGAUGAAAGCGGACAGUCUCGUGGCUUUGGAUUUGUCAACUUUGAAAGCCACGGAGAUGCAAGGAGGGCAGUAACUGAGAUGAACGGCAAAGAGCUGAAUGGCAGAGUACUGUAUGUGGGCAGAGCUCAGAAAAGACUGGAGAGGCAGGGAGAACUCAAGCGCAAGUUUGAGCAAAUAAAGCAGGAGCGCAUACAACGCUACCAGGGAGUAAAUCUCUAUGUGAAAAAUCUAGAUGACAGCAUUGAUGAUGAGAAGCUGAGGAAAGAGUUUGCUCCUUAUGGAACCAUCACCAGUGCAAAGGUGAUGACAGAUGGAGGCCACAGUAGAGGCUUUGGCUUUGUGUGUUUUUCCUCUCCCGAAGAGGCCACGAAGGCAGUGACUGAGAUGAAUGGCCGUAUCGUUAGCACUAAACCACUAUAUGUGGCUCUUGCCCAGAGAAAAGAGGAGCGAAAGGCUAUCCUCACCAAUCAGUACAUGCAGAGAUUAGCCAGCAUUCGUGCCAUUCCCAGCCCUGCCAUACCCACCACCUACCAGCAGAGCUCUGGCUACUACAUGACCUCUGUUCCGCAACAUCAGGUUCGCUCUUUUUACAAUACUGUACCAAACCUGCGGCCUGUGCCACGCUGGACCACUCAGGCUCCUAGAACUCAAGCUCCAUUCACAGCUCAGUUUGUAAGACAAGCAGUGCCCCGCAGGCCCUCCACCACCAUCAGCACAGUCCGCCAGGCCUCCACUCAGGUUCCUCACAUUGUUCACAACACCCAGCGAAUGGCCAACAUUGGCACGCAGACUGCAGGUGGGAGAACUGCAGGAGCGGGGGCUGUAGUCAGAGGAGUCAGUCAAUACAAGUACUCAGCAGGUGUCCGAAAUGUGCAGCAGGUCAUCAGUGCUCCAGCUCCUGUCGUCCACCAGAGGAGGAGAUUUCUCUUGUGGCAGAUGGAGGCACUGUAGCCUCUAAAUUUACAAAAGAAUUUAAAUCUAAAACAAAGGUCUGUGGGUGCUUCGGUUUACACUUUGGUUCACAAUGGUCUUUCACGAGUCACUAGACUGACGUUGGGGGAUGGGAACUGCAGUGCUGGGGCAGGAGAACAGAUCACAUGACCUGAAUGCGUCAACACUGAGAGCCAAUCCUGUUGUCGAGAGGGGCCCCUUAUCUCGCAGGCUUGCCUGUUUCUUGGCAGAAAAACAUAAACGACACAAAAUAUGUAGCUUAAAUUGUCAGAAAUGAAUGUGGAUAGUGACAUAUAUAUGUUGCAACACAUCAAAUGUGCUUGUAUUGUCCUGGUAAAUGACAAAAUCAUGGUUUAACCACUCACCAUCUUCGAGAAAACUUUACCGGAGACACUGCUAUACAUACCAGACGUCUAGGCUACCUGUUUGUGCUUGCUUCGGCAGCACAUAUACUAAAAUUGGAACGAUACAGAGAAGAUUAGCAUGGCCCCUGCGCAAAAGAUCCUGGCCAAUCUUCUCUGUUGGGCCCCCUGUGGCUACCUGGGCACCUGUGGCCCGCCCAUUUACCUGGGUAUAAUUGUUGUGGCCCCACAGUUUGAAUUAUUGACAGCUUGCACCUAAGCACUAUCUGAGAUGGCAAAACAACAGAGAUGGCCUCCUGUUCUUUCAGAAAGAGAGCAGGUACGGCGGAAGAAAUUCCGCCAGAGGCUUUCAGAGGACCUAGACAACACCGCUUUUCGGGUCCAGAGGGCAGAUGCUGAAAAAGAAAAAAAAAGAGCAAUGAAAUUUCGCAAACCUCAUUGGCCUCCAGUGAUUUCUUCGGAGGAAAGUGAAAAGAGGAGACUGUUCCGGGAAAGACUGGAGAGAAAGGCUUCCCUCCAAGCCACACCAUCCACUAGACAGUCUAAGAAAGGUCUGCGGAGAGAUUCUUCUCUGCAAGCCACACCAUCCACUAGACAGUCUAAGAAAGGUCUGCGGAGAGAGUCUUCCCUCCAAGUCACACCAUCCACAAGACAGUCUAAGAAAGGUCUGCGGAGAGAUUCUUCUCUGCAAGCCACACCAUCCACUAGACAGUCUAAGAAAGGUCUGCGGAGAGAGUCUUCCCUCCAAGUCACACCAUCCACAAGACAGUCUAAGAAAGGUCUGCGGAGAGAGUCUUCUCUGCAAGCCAACCCAUUCACCAGUCCGCAGUGGCCUCCAGUGAUUUCUUCGGAGGAAAGUGACAGGAGGAGACGGUUCCGGAGAAGAUUGGAGAGAAGGUCUUCUCUCCAAGCCACCCCAUCCACCAGUCAGCAGUGGCCUCCAGUGCUAAAAAACGUCAGAGUAUCAGUUCCGACAUGCGCAUCACUGGCUGUGCUCCCUCCUCCAUCGGCUGUAUCUGCUGCAGCCCUUAAGAGGGUACCAAGGGCCACAGCCUGGAGACGGAAAAAGAGGGCCGAAGAGGACAAAAAGGCCCUAAAGCAACAAAAAGGCAUUCCACGGAGAGCAGAUCCAAAAGGAUAUCCUUGUAGACUGUGUGGACAGCCAAAGAGACUGGAGUUUGGACACAGUUUCUUUAGGGGGAAAAGUUUCUGUGCCACUGCAGCUGGAAGGACUGUAUCGCAAUGGCUUUCUGAUCAGAGGAGGAUUGCAGCUGCAGACAACUAUGACAACGUGCCUCGGACAACUGCUUGGAGGAAGAAAAAGAAAGAGGAAGAAAUUGCACAGGGCCUGCCUCAGAAAAGGCCAAAGAAAUGCAAACCGCUGACUUGCUCUCUGUGUCAGCAGCCCAAAACCAAGGACUAUGGUCACUCACGCUACGGUGGCAAAUCGUUUUGUAGCAGUUACGAGGGCAAGACUGUGGAACUUUGGCUGGCAGAGCAGCGGUCUCUUGCUCCCCCGUAAAUAAUUGCCACUGAUUUUUUUUUUACAUUUUAAUGUUAAUUUUAGUGCAGUGUUUGUUUGUUU